Molecule: ribosomal RNA, 497 nt
Filed under: uncultured bacterium
Lineage: Bacteria
Description: partial 16S ribosomal RNA
Rfam family: Bacterial small subunit ribosomal RNA
Source: RNAcentral
GAUGAACGCUGGCGGCGUGCCUAAUACAUGCAAGUCGAGCGAACAGAUAAGGAGCUUGCUCCUUUGACGUUAGCGGCGGACGGGUGGGUAACACGUGGGUAACCUACCUAUAAGACUGGAAUAACUCCGGGAAACCGGGGCUAAUGCCGGAUAACAUUUAGAACCGCAUGGUUCUAAAGUGAAAGAUGGUUUUGCUAUCACUUAUAGAUGGACCCGCGCCGUAUUAGCUAGUUGGUAAGGUCACGGCUUACCAAGGCAACGAUACGUAGCCGACCUGAGAGGGUGAUCGGCCACACUGGAACUGAGACACGGUCCAGACUCCUACGGGAGGCAGCAGUAGGGAAUCUUCCGCAAUGGGCGAAAGCCUGACGGAGCAACGCCGCGUGAGUGAUGAAGGUCUUCGGAUCGUAAAACUCUGUUAUUAGGGAAGAACAAAUGUGUAAGUAACUGUGCACGUCUUGACGGUACCUAAUCAGAAAGCCACGGCUAACUACGUG